RNAcentral lists this non-coding RNA (26 nucleotides) under Cricetulus griseus (Chinese hamster). The record is from RNAcentral. Lineage: Eukaryota; Metazoa; Chordata; Mammalia; Rodentia; Cricetidae.
AUUAGUCAGCCGUAAUUAACAUCUCG